Molecule: ribosomal RNA, 253 nt
Filed under: uncultured bacterium
Lineage: Bacteria
Description: partial 16S ribosomal RNA
Rfam family: Bacterial small subunit ribosomal RNA
Source: RNAcentral
UACGUAGGAUGCGAGCGUUAAUCGGAAUUACUGGGCGUAAAGCGUGCGCAGGCGGCGCGUUAAGACAGGUGUGAAAGCCCCGAGCUUAACUUGGGAAUUGCGCUUGUGACUGGCGUGCUGGAGUGUGGCAGAGGGAGGUGGAAUUCCACGUGUAGCAGUGAAAUGCGUAGAGAUGUGGAGGAACACCGAUGGCGAAGGCAGCCUCCUGGGCCAGCACUGACGCUCAUGCACGAAAGCGUGGGGAGCAAACAGG